GCCACGUCACGAUGAAACACCAGUUUCCCGUACGAUCACCGAAGUUAAGCAACGUAGAGCCCGGUCAGUACCAAGAUGGGUGACCGACUGAGAAUACCAGAUGCU
Molecule: non-coding RNA, 105 nt
Organism: Acanthosepion pharaonis
Lineage: Eukaryota; Metazoa; Mollusca; Cephalopoda; Sepiida; Sepiidae
Source: the annotation of a GenBank genome assembly